UACGUAGGGUGCAAGCGUUGUUCGGAAUCAUUGGGCGUAAAGCGCGUGUAGGCUGUCAGUUAAGUCGGUUGUGAAAUCCCUGGGCUCAACCCAGGAAGUGCAUUCGAAACUAACUGACUAGAAGACGGUAGAGGAAGGUGGAAUUCCAAGUGUAGAGGUGAAAUUCGUAGAUAUUUGGAGGAAUACCGGUGGCGAAGGCGGCCUUCUGGGCCGUUCUUGACGCUGAGACGCGAAAGCAUGGGGAGCAAACAGG
Molecule: ribosomal RNA, 253 nt
Filed under: uncultured bacterium
Lineage: Bacteria
Description: partial 16S ribosomal RNA
Rfam family: Bacterial small subunit ribosomal RNA
Source: RNAcentral